This 67-nucleotide transfer RNA is filed under the name Marmota monax (woodchuck). RNAcentral describes it as "tRNA.Ala". The record is from RNAcentral. Lineage: Eukaryota; Metazoa; Chordata; Mammalia; Rodentia; Sciuridae.
GGUUGUAGCUCAGGUGCAGAGUGCUUCCCUGGCAUGCAUGAGGCCCUGGGUUCAAUUCUCAGAACCA